AGAGGGUUUUCCACUUUCAGUAGAUCUGUAAGGGACUUUGGAGAGUUUAUCUAGUUUAACCAUCUUGUUUCAGGGACAGGAAACUGAGGCCAGAGUAGUUAAAUAAUGCUCGUGGUUCCCCAGGCAGUUAUUAGUGCAGCUGGGCUGAUCUCCAAGUCUCAUUCUUAUUCUGGUGUCUUCCCCAUAAUUCUGACCUUUGUUAUUGUCACAUAAUUUAUCCUGGGACUAAAUCCUCUUAGCUAUGAAAGCUAUAUGCUUGGAGCCAUUGAGGAUGCUGAUAAGAACUUUGCUGAGUGUGUGUGAGAUUGCACCUGCUGCCUUCUCUUCUUUUUACCCACCCAGAGAAUCUAAGAUUGU
Molecule: long non-coding RNA, 357 nt
Filed under: Pan troglodytes (chimpanzee)
Lineage: Eukaryota; Metazoa; Chordata; Mammalia; Primates; Hominidae
Description: long non-coding RNA NONPTRT010398
Source: RNAcentral